RNAcentral lists this transfer RNA (70 nucleotides) under Normichthys operosus (multipore searsid). RNAcentral's name for it is "tRNA-Ile". It matches the Rfam family "tRNA". From Rfam's summary of the family: Transfer RNA (tRNA) molecules are approximately 80 nucleotides in length. Their secondary structure includes four short double-helical elements and three loops (D, anti-codon, and T loops). Further hydrogen bonds mediate the characteristic L-shaped molecular structure. tRNAs have two regions of fundamental functional importance: the anti-codon, which is responsible for specific mRNA codon recognition, and the 3' end, to which the tRNAs corresponding amino acid is attached (by aminoacyl-tRNA synthetases). tRNAs cope with the degeneracy of the genetic code in two manners: having more than one tRNA (with a specific anti-codon) for a particular amino acid; and 'wobble' base-pairing, i.e. permitting non-standard base-pairing at the 3rd anti-codon position. The record is from RNAcentral. Lineage: Eukaryota; Metazoa; Chordata; Actinopteri; Alepocephaliformes; Platytroctidae.
GGAAUUGUGCUCGAUUAAAGGGAACAUUUUGAUAGAAUGAUACAUGGGGGUUAAAAUCCCCCCAAUUCCU